GACGGAGGAUGCAAGUGUUAUCCGGAAUCACUGGGCGUAAAGCGUCUGUAGGUGGUUUAAUAAGUCAACUGUUAAAUCUUGAGGCUCAACCUCAAAAUCGCAGUCGAAACUAUUAGGCUAGAGUAUAGUAGGGGUAAAGGGAAUUUCCAGUGGAGCGGUGAAAUGACGUAGAGAUUGGAAAGAACACCGAUGGCGAAGGCACUUUACUGGGCUAUUACUAACACUCAGAGACGAAAGCUAGGGUAGCAAAUGGGG
This 255-nucleotide ribosomal RNA is filed under the name uncultured bacterium. Its description in RNAcentral is "partial 16S ribosomal RNA". It matches the Rfam family "Bacterial small subunit ribosomal RNA", at positions 524 to 777 of the family's 1533-position model. The record is from RNAcentral.